This is a long non-coding RNA of Acanthaster planci (crown-of-thorns starfish), 3501 nucleotides long. The record is from RefSeq and is a predicted model, not a curated record. Lineage: Eukaryota; Metazoa; Echinodermata; Asteroidea; Valvatida; Acanthasteridae.
CUGAAGUGACUUGUAAGUGCGCAGGAAACAAAGUUAACACACACUUUCACCAUGGAGUUUUUUGCUGUUUCUUGUGCCUCGUGCGUGGAAGUUCUUUAGCAUGUUCCUCAAACUUUGUGGAGAUAUACCCCCUCUGGAUUAGCCGUAUUCUUGUGCCUCAUGUGGAGGAAUGUGCUGUGUGUCCUGUGGACAUUUUCUGAACUUGUUACGCUGGCAACUGUGAACUAGCAGUGCAACAUUGAGCUGGAUUUGACCCAGCGCCCAGCCGAUCUUGCCUCCAUUUUUUUGCACGCCGCAAACACGUGUCUCGCGCGCGCGACAAGAGCACUGGAUCCUUGGCCUUGGAACAAUCACAGUCAGCAGAGCAGAGUUAAGCGCCAGCAAGUAGCUUUCGCCAGUUUCGGUGAGUCGAUUCCUUGAACACUUACUGUGUGGAAGUUAGCACGAAGUUCCCACAUAAUUUAUGCACGAUUUAAAGAAACUGACCCUUAUCAAAUAUCGACAUCCCUAUAUUUAAAUGGAUGAAUCUAUUAUGUAGCGUGAGCACUCUUGGUGCUGUCCAUGGAAACAUAUGAAUACAUGUAUAUAGUUCUUGCAUACAUGAAACCUUUCUAUGGGUGCAUUCGAUUAACUUACACGUGUAAGUCAAACCAGAGCGUUCGUACGUUUAGCCAUCACGUGAUCUUUGUGCCUGCCCUGGUGUCAGCACUACCCCGGCUAGCGAGCGGGGCCAUGGAGGCUGCCCAAGUGUAAUGGCAUCAAGGAUGGACUGUUCGAACAUGGCCAUAAUGGAAUUAACAUUGCAGCAACUUGAAGUUAAGCACCUAUUGUCAGACAGUUGUAAUUCAAGAUAGAGACGUGAAAAGUUACCGUGUCUCAUUGGAGGCACCAAGUGCUAGAAGGUUGACAGAAAGAGAUUCAGAGUUUGCAGAGCUUAUUCUGAGGAAAAUUAAAGAGGCUGCUUUAGUACCCAGGAGCCAUUCUGUGAGUCAACCAGCAAAAAAGUAUGAGUGGUCACUGCACCCACAGUACCCAGGAGCCAUUCUAAAGUCUCACCUCUCCAUUCGCCAGCAUGCUCAACCGUGGCAACAAAAGGAAACAUGCCCAGGGUUCAUGCAUAGAAAUAGGAUCCAGCACCAGACGUGAAUGGUUGGAUGGUGAAACCCGUCAGCUCCUUGACAUAAUGACCAGGUCUGAAGAGUCUGAAGAGAAACUCAAAGAGUCUAAUUUAAAAAACCUGUCUCGAAGCAAGAAAUGGGCAUACCAGCUGAAAAGUGCAAAGACAAAGUGGAAAGUUUGAAGAGGUCCUACAGGAACCAUGUCCAGGCUUGAAAAAGACAGAGGCAACUCAACGAGUCACUUCAUCAAAUGGGCUACAGAAAUGCAGGUCCUUAUGGGAAGUGACCCCACUGUGAAGCCAGUAUACACGUGUGACAGCAAACUAAAUGAAGUGAACAACCUGGGUAACUCAUCUGAUGAUGAAUCAACCAAUGAGCCUAAACUAACACCAAGAAAAAAGAAAACCAGGAUCCAUGGUUUGAUGCAUCAAAAGUUAAGUCAGAUGAUGGAUUAUAGGCCUAUGGAAGAAAGGGAUCACCAAUUCCUUUCUUUCAUGAAAUCUGUCUAUGAAGACAACAAAAUCUUGAUGCAACAACUUAUUAAGAAAAUGUAAGGAUAGAAGCAUGUUGUUCAUGUUAUUAUCAGCACUUCUACCGAAGAAAGACAUUUUCCUCCUGCAGUUGCUUGACUUGUGUUAUCUUUUUGAAAGUUAUUGUUGAUGGGACAGUAGUUAGUUUCAUAUUAGACAUUUACAUUCCCAUUGGUUUUUACAGCAAACGUCUGAUUUUUCUUGACACAGUGGACAUUCUAAUAGAAUUGUACAGCAAAUGACUGUUUUUUACAAACCAAUAAGAAUGUCCAAUAUCGACCAAAAUCAGACAUUUGCUGUACAGUCCCAUGGAAAUGUCCAGUGUCCAAUAUCAAACUAAAUUUACUGUCGUGUUGUUGACAUGCUUUUUACAAAUCUUAAACAUCUUGUAAGAAACUUUUGGAGAAGUACAAUGCCUUGUUACCGACACCUUUUUGUUUGUAUUUAAAAGUUGAACAUACAUUUUAUUCCUUUAUGAAAAAAGAAAAAAGUUAACUUAUCACACUAGUACUGGGAUUUGCAAAUAUAUUGAGCAUAUCCAAUUUAAACGUUUUCCCAGAAAAAGCUGUGAAAGAUGGAAAUAUUCAGUGUUAUUUAAUUUAGGGUUUUUGCCUACCCAACAUAUAUUGAAAAUUUACGUCCGUCGUCGGGUAGGGCAAAAACCCAAAAUCAAAUUAAGUACUCCCUCAGUUGUACACACACAUUAUCACGUGUAUCAGUACAACUUUUGCUUAAUGACAAACUUACAAAUCGUAUGCGGGAUCGACACCCCAGGAACACACGCAGUGAAUUGUAUUCAAGAUGGCUGCUGAAGUAAACGGGCUAGCGGGAGGUUUCAGGGUUUACAGCGGUAUUCUGGUGCUGAAAAUCCAAAAAUAAACCGAGCAACUACAUGUAUAGGAAAACAAACGUCACAAAUGACAUAUCACAACUGGUAAAUAGAUGUACAAACACACACAAUUCCGUAUAGGUGCAUACGCCCAUGCAAAAUACGAUAAUUCUUCCAAAUAUCGACUCAAAUUACGAACAAAUAUACACGACAGUGUUGCAUUAAGUUUCCCAAGUCCCGUAAGAAAAGGUAUAAAUAACUACACAGUGAUUUCAAAUAUACAUUAUGGCACAUUUUCUAUCUUAAACACGAAAAAACGCAAGUGAACUGAGUGUCUUCAGCUUCCGACGGCGUUCAAGGAAGGCUGACCCGAAUUGGAAUUUCCCGCACUGAUAUACUCAGUAAGAUCACAUGACUUAAUCUGCAUUGCAAAUUACAUACCAAUAAAUAAUAAUACAUAAAGGAAUGUAAGAACCGUGUGGCCUGACAUCGUAUGCAAAUUUAACCGAGUCAUAAAAAACUUUCAAAGGCAACAAUUCGCACAAGUCGAACCCAGCUGGACUAGAGAUACUGUACAAUGCAAAUUACACUACACCAAAUUCGUUACAAGGAAAACAACUUAUCGGCGACGAUAACACCCUGUUAUAGUGUAACUUAUGACUGGCCUUCAAGGGACUUACGAGUGGCUUUGUGAAGGGACCCGUGAUUCAACUUGUGAACACUGUAAGAAACAAAGGUUCACAUGCACCCAUAUUGAUACAAUAGCAGCACUGAUUGUAAAUGGUGCAGACUUCAAUUGCACUUCAGUUUGGGUGUAUGUGUCCCUACGUUGGAGUAUGCACACCUACAGGGGAGUAUACACCAAAUACUGUGGUCAGAUUUGUACUUCAAUUGGUGCUGCUGUUGUGUCAAUUAUAGGGGUACAAAUUUGAACCAUAACUUCUUAGAGUAAGGGAUUUGUGAAAGGACUUGUGAUAGACUCAAAUUCAACAUCGGUUACUAGGGUUUAAGUGUGCCAUGUGUU